UGUAUUUUCUUUGGCUGAUGUCGUGUUUCCUUGCAGAGGCCAUGAGGUCUGGAAGGCAGGAAUCAAUUCUCCCACAUGGAGGCAUGCUCCCGGGCGUAGAGGACAAUGUCUCGCAUGAAGCGGGCACUAAGUAAACACUCAUGGAGUGAUUGAUGGGCUGUUUGAGAGAAAUGUGCUCGUGAGAGUCUGGGGCACAUCUGGAAAGAGCUGAGAGAGGAUUUUCAGGAGGAGCAGGCAGCACAGAACUUGCUGCAGGAGCCUGCCAAAGGCUUUGUGCUGCCUGGUUUUUCCUCCCUUGAUCCUGGUGUCAGUUUCAGAAAGACUUAAGUGGAUCCUGCAUCAGGAGGGAGCAGACACCGGAGAAAGAAAAACAAGUUGUGCUGUUUGAGGAAGCAAGUUGGACCUGCACUCCAGCCUGUGGAGAUGAACCUAGGACUGUGAUUCUGCUAUCCAGUAUGUUGGCUGACCACAGGGUAAGAUAGGCUCUCAAGGAACUUACCAUCUUGUUUGUGCAAAAUGAAAAUACUUUGAAAUAACUGUCUUGGGGAAAGACAAAAAUAAGAACAGAAUGCCGAGAAGAUUACACACAAGGCAUGCAACCCCAAGGUACAACACCUGAGAUUCCUGAGAGGGAGAUCUGGUUGUCAUAGACAGGAAGAGCUGGAAGGAGGAGAUGGCUCAGGAGGCUGAUGGGGCUGGAGAGCUGCAAGGGGAGAGGUGAGAAAGGCUCUCCUGGGGAACAGUCUGAGGACCCUGUGCCUGCUUGGCCUUCCAUUCAUCUUUAUGGCUUGGUCAUGUGAUCUGCAUUGAUCUGUAGUUCCAGGGAAGGACUUCCUUCCUUCCUUCCUUCCUUCCUUCCUUCCUCCCUUCCUCCCUCCCUCCCUCCCUUCCUUCCUCCCUCCCUCUCUCCCUCCCUCUUUCUCUCUCUCUCUCUUUCUUUCUCUCUUUCUCUUUCUCUCUUUCUUCCUUUCUUUCCUCCCUCCCUCCUUUCUUUCCCUUCCUUCCUUCCUUCCUUCCUUCCUUUCUUUUUUCUUUCUUUCUUUCUUUCUUUCUUUCUUUCUUUCUUUCUUUCUUCCUUCCUUCCUUCCUUCCUUCCUUCCUUCCUUCCUUCCUUCCUUCCUUCCUUCUUUCUCUCUCUCUCUUUCUUUCUUUCUUUCUUUCUCUUUCUUUUUCUUUCCAAUGCAGCCACUUGGGACUUCACAUAUGAGAUGAGGUGGUGAAAGCAUGGAGAUGGUCUAAAACUGAGCAGGAACAUUAAAUGAACAGGUGGAAGGAACCACCAUACUCUCAGAAGAAAUGGUCAACCAGCAGAGAUCCUGAACCCUGAUCCCAAAACCAAUCUAGAGAUACAGGAGGCACCAGAGGGAGGUUGGUGGGAGGCCAAGGAAUUUUAGCAGAGACAAAAGGAAAUUAGAUCUCAGUUGAGGAAGAAGAGGAAAAUGAUACAAAGUGGGUAGGCCAGAUGCCACUGACUGGGCAUAGGCUGAGGGAAAGAGGGACUUUCUAGGUAGUCAUAUUAUCUUCUGUUGUUGCCCUGGAUGGACCAUUACCCAUUGCUUUGCACAAGGUGGAAAACUGCAGACCCCACCCAGUGGCAGCAGAGGAGGGAGGUUAAUCUAAGGACUGAGAUGAAGCCAGGCUGGGCUGGAAUGAAGGUAAAAGGGACAGGAAAACUGGUUUCAAGAAGAAAACAAGGCUGGGUAUGGUGGCUCAUGCCUGUAAUCCCAGCACUUUGGGAGGCCAAGG
Homo sapiens (human) is the source of this 1746-nucleotide long non-coding RNA. RefSeq lists it as uncharacterized. The transcript is spliced from 3 exons. The record is from RefSeq and is a predicted model, not a curated record. Lineage: Eukaryota; Metazoa; Chordata; Mammalia; Primates; Hominidae.